RNAcentral lists this ribosomal RNA (68 nucleotides) under Escherichia coli. Its description in RNAcentral is "partial 23S ribosomal RNA". Lineage: Bacteria; Pseudomonadati; Pseudomonadota; Gammaproteobacteria; Enterobacterales; Enterobacteriaceae. The record is from RNAcentral.
UAAGGGCAGGGAUGCGUUGAGCUAACCGGUACUAAUGAACCGUGAGGCUUAACCUUACAACGCCGAAG